RNAcentral lists this ribosomal RNA (398 nucleotides) under uncultured bacterium. Its description in RNAcentral is "bacterial SSU rRNA". It matches the Rfam family "Bacterial small subunit ribosomal RNA", at positions 63 to 507 of the family's 1533-position model. The record is from RNAcentral.
CGAACGCCGUAGCAAUACGGAGUGGCAGACGGGUGAGUAACACGUGGGAACGUACCUUCGGUUCGGAAUAACUCAGGGAAACUUGAGCUAAUACCGGAUACGUGCGAGAGCAGAAAGUAUUUAUCGCCGAAAGAUCGGCCCGCGUCCGAUUAGCUUGUUGGUGAGGUAAUGGCUCACCAAGGCGACGAUCGGUAGCUGGUCUGAGAGGAUGAUCAGCCACACUGGGACUGAGACACGGCCCAGACUCCUACGGGAGGCAGCAGUGGGGAAUAUUGGACAAUGGGCGAAAGCCUGAUCCAGCCAUGCCGCGUGAGUGAUGAAGGCCUUAGGGUUGUGAAGCUCUUUUGUCCGGGAAGAUAAUGACGGUACCGGAAGAAUAAGCCCCGGCUAACUUCGUG